CCCUUAGAUGUUCUGGGCUGCACGCGCGCUACACUGAAGCGUUCAACGAGUAUUCACCUUGCCCGGGAGGGUUGGGUAAUCUUUUGAAAACGCUUCGUGAUGGGGAUAGAUUAUUGCAAUUAUUAAUCUUCAACGAGGAAUUCCUAGUAAGCGCAAGUCAGCAGCUUGCGUUGAUUACGUCCCUGCCCUUUGUACACACCGCCCGUCGCUACUACCGAUUGAAUGGUUUAGUGAGAUGUUUGGACCGGAACUCUCUUGCUCAGCAAUGGGCGAGAGAGAGUCUGGGAAGUCCCUCUAACUGUAUCAUUUAGAGGAAGUAAAAGUCGUAACA
This 331-nucleotide ribosomal RNA is filed under the name uncultured eukaryote. RNAcentral's name for it is "partial 18S ribosomal RNA". It matches the Rfam family "Eukaryotic small subunit ribosomal RNA", at positions 1470 to 1796 of the family's 1831-position model. The record is from RNAcentral.